UACGUAGGGGGCAAGCGUUAUCCGGAUUUACUGGGUGUAAAGGGAGCGUAGACGGUAUGGCAAGUCUGAUGUGAAAACCCGGGGCUCAACCCCGGGACUGCAUUGGAAACUGUCGGACUAGAGUGUCGGAGAGGCAAGUGGAAUUCCUAGUGUAGCGGUGAAAUGCGUAGAUAUUAGGAGGAACACCAGUGGCGAAGGCGGCUUGCUGGACGAUGACUGACGUUGAGGCUCGAAAGCGUGGGGAGCAAACAGG
This 253-nucleotide ribosomal RNA is filed under the name uncultured bacterium. RNAcentral describes it as "partial 16S ribosomal RNA". It matches the Rfam family "Bacterial small subunit ribosomal RNA", at positions 524 to 776 of the family's 1533-position model. The record is from RNAcentral.